AUGUCGAUCCAGGGCCUGCUCCUCGAGGUCAGAGUGACGGGGUGCCGGAAGCUGCGGGACACCGAGUUCUUCUCGCGCCAGGACCCCUACGUCAUCGUCGAGUACGCCAACACCAAGCUGCGCACCCGCACCUGCACCGAUGGGGGAAGGAACCCGUCCUUCGACGAGAAGUUUCAUAUACCACUCAUCGAGGGGCUCCGUGAGCUGAGUAUCAACGUGUGGAACAGCAACACAAUCAACACCGAUGACUUCAUUGGCAGCUGCAGGGUGCCGCUGAACAAGGUGCUCACGAGUGGCUACGAUGAUGCCUCAUGGCCCCUCCAGACACGCCAUAUGAAGUCUGCUGGGGAAGUUAAGCUUAUCAUGCACUUUGAUGUCUCAGCAAUGAAGAACAAGAUGGCAGGUAAAACUUCUGGCCAGUACGCUCCUUCGCCAUACGGUGCCUCCUCAGCUUCGUACCCAGCGCCUUCAGCAUAUGCUGCAGCACCCCCGCCGCACCAAGCUUAUGGAGCUCCUAGCCAUGCACCAUAUCCCGCGCCUUCUGCGUACUCAACUCCGCCUCCUCAGCAGCCAUACCCAACUCCACCUCCUCAGCAGCCAUACCCGCAGCAGGGAGGUCCUCCUACAAGUCACCCACCACAGCCAUAUGGGCAACCGUACCCGCCGCAGCCAUACGGGCAACCGUACCCACCACAACCUUAUGGGCAGCAACCGUACCCGCCACAGCCAUAUGGGCAACCCUACCCACCACCUUCAGCAGCACAAUCCCCUUAUCCACCUGCGCCGUACCCUGGAGCUUAUCCACCGCGGCCAUAUUGA
This 819-nucleotide ribosomal RNA is filed under the name Triticum aestivum (bread wheat). Its description in RNAcentral is "partial small subunit ribosomal RNA". Lineage: Eukaryota; Viridiplantae; Streptophyta; Magnoliopsida; Poales; Poaceae. The record is from RNAcentral.